Molecule: ribosomal RNA, 114 nt
Organism: Ochotona princeps (American pika)
Lineage: Eukaryota; Metazoa; Chordata; Mammalia; Lagomorpha; Ochotonidae
Source: Ensembl
GUCUACGGCCAUGCCACCCUGAACACGCCCGAUCUUGUCUGAUCUCGGAAGCUAAGCAGGGUCGGGACUGGUUAGCAUUGGGAUGGGAGAAAGGGCUCGGCCAAGCUGAGGCCA